GAUCUCCUAGUUCAGUGGUAGAAUUUCUGAUUCCAGCGUAGUUGGAGCGUCCAGAAGGUCGUCCGUUCAAUCCGGGCGGAGAUCA
Mycena vitilis is the source of this 85-nucleotide non-coding RNA. The record is from the annotation of a GenBank genome assembly. Lineage: Eukaryota; Fungi; Basidiomycota; Agaricomycetes; Agaricales; Mycenaceae.